RNAcentral lists this small nuclear RNA (107 nucleotides) under Nannospalax galili (Upper Galilee mountains blind mole rat). The record is from RNAcentral. Lineage: Eukaryota; Metazoa; Chordata; Mammalia; Rodentia; Spalacidae.
GCACUCACUUCAACAGCACAUAUACUAAAACUGGAGCAAUACAGGAAAGAUUAGCAUGACCCCUGUGCAAGAAUGAUACACAAAUUCAUAAAGUGUUCCAUAUUUUU